This 600-nucleotide ribosomal RNA is filed under the name Pseudoalteromonas atlantica. Its description in RNAcentral is "bacterial SSU rRNA". It matches the Rfam family "Bacterial small subunit ribosomal RNA", at positions 81 to 683 of the family's 1533-position model. The record is from RNAcentral. Lineage: Bacteria; Pseudomonadati; Pseudomonadota; Gammaproteobacteria; Alteromonadales; Pseudoalteromonadaceae.
UACUUUGCUGACGAGCGGCGGACGGGUGAGUAAUGCUUGGGAACAUGCCUUGAGGUGGGGGACAACAGUUGGAAACGACUGCUAAUACCGCAUAAUGUCUACGGACCAAAGGGGGCUUCGGCUCUCGCCUUUAGAUUGGCCCAAGUGGGAUUAGCUAGUUGGUGAGGUAAUGGCUCACCAAGGCAACGAUCCCUAGCUGGUUUGAGAGGAUGAUCAGCCACACUGGGACUGAGACACGGCCCACACUCCUACGGGAGGCAGCAGUGGGGAAUAUUGCACAAUGGGCGCAAGCCUGAUGCACCCAUGCCGCGUGUGUGAAGAAGGCCUUCGGGUUGUAAAGCACUUUCAGUCAGGAGGAAAGGUUAGUAGUUAAUACCUGCUAGCUGUGACGUUACUGACAGAAGAAGCACCGGCUAACUCCGUGCCAGCAGCCGCGGUAAUACGGAGGGUGCGAGCGUUAAUCGGAAUUACUGGGCGUAAAGCGUACGCAGGCGGUUUGUUAAGCGAGAUGUGAAAGCCCCGGGCUCAACCUGGGAACUGCAUUUCGAACUGGCAAACUAGAGUGUGAUAGAGGGUGGUAGAAUUUCAGGUGUAGCGGUG